Molecule: ribosomal RNA, 253 nt
Filed under: uncultured bacterium
Lineage: Bacteria
Description: partial 16S ribosomal RNA
Rfam family: Bacterial small subunit ribosomal RNA
Source: RNAcentral
UACGGAGGGUGCGAGCGUUGUCCGGAAUCACUGGGCGUAAAGGGCGCGUAGGCGGCGCGGAAAGUCAACGGUGAAAGCUCGGGCUCAACCCCGAGUCGGCCGUCGAUACUUCUGUGCUUGAGCACUGUAGAGGCAGGUGGAAUUCCGGGUGUAGCGGUGGAAUGCGUAGAUAUCGGGAGGAACACCUGUGGCGAAGGCGGCCCCCUGGUCGGAUACUGACGCUGAGACGCGAAAGCGUGGGGAGCAAAACAGG